AUACGUAGGGGACGAGCGUUGUCCGGAAUUACUGGGCGUAAAGGGCGCGCAGGCGGUAUAUCAAGUCAGCUGUCAAAGACUGGGGCUCAACCCUGGUAUGCGGUUGAAACUGAUAUGCUGGAGUGCUGUAGAGGCCAGUGGAAUUCCCAGUGUAGCGGUGAAAUGGGUAGAUAUUGGGAAGCACACCGGGGGCGAAGGCGACUUGCUGGGCAGCAACUGACGCUGAGGCGCGAAAGCCAGGGGAGCAAACGGGAUUAGAUACCCCGGUAGUCCUGGCCGUAAACGAUGAAUGCUAGGUGUGUGUGUAGAGAUACAUGCGUGCCGGAGUUAACGCGAUAAGCAUUCCGCCUGGGGAGUACGGUCGCAAGAUCGAAACUCAAAUGAAUCGACGGGG
This 394-nucleotide ribosomal RNA is filed under the name uncultured bacterium. RNAcentral's name for it is "partial 16S ribosomal RNA". It matches the Rfam family "Bacterial small subunit ribosomal RNA", at positions 523 to 918 of the family's 1533-position model. The record is from RNAcentral.